RNAcentral lists this long non-coding RNA (818 nucleotides) under Salvia miltiorrhiza (redroot sage). Its description in RNAcentral is "long non-coding RNA (SMIL_LNC008662)". Lineage: Eukaryota; Viridiplantae; Streptophyta; Magnoliopsida; Lamiales; Lamiaceae. The record is from RNAcentral.
GAAAGUAGCCACUUUUUUUUAGCAAACUUAAAAUUUACCCACUCAAAAUAAAAACUUAAAAAAAGAUCCACUUUUUGUAUUAAAUGACUAAACUGCCUCUAAGAUUAAAAUUAAAAAAUUAUCCACCUUUAAUCUCUCUACAUUCUCUCGGUCUCUCUCUCACUCCUUCCUCCCUCCUCCACCCGCGCUCGCACUCUCUCUCUCUCUCUCUCCUCAUCAACUACUAUGUAUGCAGUCGUCACCAGUACAGGAGGAGGAGGAGGAGGAGCGGUGAUCUCAGCUCGGCGGCAGAGAAUCAUGGCGAGGAGUCUUCGCAGGAUCAAUGGCUGGUGGCUCAGGAUGGAUUUGACGAGGCGUUGGUCAAAGGCGAUAGCUUGAUUGAAGGCACCGACUGUGCCGUGUGUCUCAGCGAUCGAGUUCGAAGACGAUGAUGAAUUAGUAUCAAGUUGAGAGGCGCGAUGACUUGGUUUUGGUGGUGGAGGAUCAAGAAAUUAAGUGUGAUAAAUUAUUUAAGGAAUUUUUGUGGUGGACAGUUGGUUUAAAAUUCCAGAUCUAUGAGUUAUUUCACUUUAGUGAAGACUCACGUCAUUUUAGUAAUUUGUUUGGUAGAUGAUUCAAUGCAUUUUUCUGCAUUAAAAAAAAAAAUAUACACCCAACACGUCAUUUUGGUAAUUAAUUACUCCCUCCGUACACCAAUUAAAGGCCUAGGGGAAAAAAUACGGGUUUUAAGAAAAAGUGUAUUUUUAUUAGUUGAGUGGAGAAAUGGUCCCACUUUUUAAGAAAAAAUGUAUUUUUAUUAGUUGAGUGGAGAAAGGGUC